Molecule: long non-coding RNA, 509 nt
Filed under: Homo sapiens (human)
Lineage: Eukaryota; Metazoa; Chordata; Mammalia; Primates; Hominidae
Description: HSALNT0249060
Source: RNAcentral
AGAUCCCCAUGUCACGGCUUGAAGGAGAGCCACCAGGAAAGCUGCCAGAAGAGAAAUAUCUUUAUUGGUCUCAGCAUGCAGGAGAAAUUAACUUUUAUUGGAUUAAUCCUUCGAGAUUUGAGGUGGCUGUUGAUGGACGGCUGUCCCCUGCACACCGACAGAAACAUCUUCGUGCUAGGUUUGCCCAGCUGAACACAUGCCACAGCUGAUCCGUCUGUUGAGCAGGCCGCACACCACUGCUGAUCAAUCUUCACAUGCCAAUUAUGUGAUGUGGAGUGGGCUGGGAGGAGCAUGCACAGGUGAGGGGGGCUUGGUGGAGGGAGAAAAUCACUCUUGGGAUUCUGCUCUGUGCCCCUGCUCUCGCCUUUGUCCCUGCUAGGAGACAGUGAGGGGACAGUGAGGGGUCCUCUCCUCCCAGCACCACACCAUCUUAUACGUAGUGCCCCACUAGACGAUGUUUGGUGCCGCCUCCAUCCACCUCUGAGGAGGGCCAAUAGAAUCCAAACAUG